RNAcentral lists this ribosomal RNA (441 nucleotides) under uncultured bacterium. RNAcentral describes it as "partial 16S ribosomal RNA". It matches the Rfam family "Bacterial small subunit ribosomal RNA", at positions 338 to 795 of the family's 1533-position model. The record is from RNAcentral.
CCUACGGGUGGCAGCAGUGGGGAAUAUUGCACAAUGGGGGAAACCCUGAUGCAGCGACGCCGCGUGAGUGAAGAAGUAUCUCGGUAUGUAAAGCUCUAUCAGCAGGGAAGAAGAAAGACGGUACCUGACUAAGUAGCACCGGCUAACUACGUGCCAGCAGCCGCGGUAAUUCGGAGGGGGCAAGCGUUAUCCGGAUUUACUGGGUGUAAAGGGAGCGUAGACGGCUGUGCAAGUCUGAAGUGAAAGCCCAGGGCUCAACCCUGGGACUGCGUUGGAAACUGUGGAGCUAGAGUGCUGGGGAGGUAGGUGGAAUUCGUAGUGUAGCGGUGAAAUGCGUAGAUAUUAGGAAGAACACCGGUGGCGAAGGCAGCUUACUGGACAGUAACUGACGUUGAGGCUCGAAAGCGUGGGGAGCGAACAGGAUUAGAUACCCUAGUAGUC